CCNCCUGGGGAGUACGACCGCAAGGUUGAAACUCAAAGGAAUUGACGGGGGCCCGCACAAGCGGUGGAGUAUGUGGUUUAAUUCGACGCAACGCGAAGAACCUUACCAGGUCUUGACANUGAUGGACAGAACCAGAGANGGUUCCUNUUNUUCGGAAGCCAGAAAACAGGUGGUGCACGGUUGUCGUCAGCUCGUGUCGUGAGAUGUUGGGUUAAGUCCCGCAACGAGCGCAACCCCUAUNUUAUGUUGCCAGCACUUUGGGUGGGGACUCAUGAGAGACUGCCGCAGACAAUGCGGAGGAAGGCGGGGAUGACGUCAAAUCAUCAUGCCCCUUAUGACCUGGGCUACACACGUACUACAAUGGGAGUUAAUAGACGGAAGCGAGAUCGCGAGAUGGAGCAAACCCGAGAAACACUCUNUCAGUUCGGAUCGUAGGCUGCAACUCGCNUACG
RNAcentral lists this ribosomal RNA (452 nucleotides) under uncultured bacterium. Its description in RNAcentral is "bacterial SSU rRNA". It matches the Rfam family "Bacterial small subunit ribosomal RNA", at positions 869 to 1320 of the family's 1533-position model. The record is from RNAcentral.